Malus domestica (apple) is the source of this 683-nucleotide long non-coding RNA. RefSeq lists it as uncharacterized. The record is from RefSeq and is a predicted model, not a curated record. NCBI's taxonomy places the organism in Eukaryota, Viridiplantae, Streptophyta, Magnoliopsida, Rosales, Rosaceae.
CUUUACUUUCUUGGGAGGUAUAUCUCUGCAUUUUCAUUUCAACUUUAUCUAACAAACAACGAGGGCCUACGCAUAGACGGUUUUGGUUUUGAAACGCGUUAUGGGAUAGCUUUAGGAUGGAUGUUAGUUAAAGGCCUAAAAGACACAUUGAAGUUGAAGUGCAAGUUUUGGGAAUGCAAUGUUAAAAGCACUUCAUGGGAGCUAAAUACUGGUGAAAUCGACCUUCCGAGGACUUUGCCUCCGUAUUUGACAACCCUCUCAUCAUAAGGCAUCCACAAGGCCAUACUGCUCCAAGGCUAGAUGAAGCAGCGUUUGAGCAACCACGCGGUUCAACUACAGCAAGCAUCCAAGGCAGUACUACUGCUUCAGAUGGUAAGCAUCAACUUGAGAACGGUGAAGCCAGAGAAAAACAUAACGGCACAGAUCUCAUUCAAUGCAAUAACGCUACGUUAGACAGUAAGCAUGAUUUGGAGAAUGGAGACACCAAAGAAAAGAUGUUUGGAACACCAGGAAACAAGCACUGCAGUUGACAUAAAAACAAAUGAAAGAAAAGUCGAGGUUGUGGAGGCAACCCAAGCAUGAAGAUCUCAAACGCCAAGAGCUGUUUUACUUGUAACUAAAUAUGUACAACGUACUAUUAACAUACAAGUACCAUUUCGUUCAAGUUGACCUUAAGAAAACAA